RNAcentral lists this long non-coding RNA (1259 nucleotides) under Hordeum vulgare. Its description in RNAcentral is "long non-coding RNA (HVUL_LNC010388)". The record is from RNAcentral. Lineage: Eukaryota; Viridiplantae; Streptophyta; Magnoliopsida; Poales; Poaceae.
UUGCCUUGCUUGGCUCCAUUUGAAUAACCACGGUACAUGUGCAUCAAUAUCCAUUCCUUCUGUCCGAACAUAAGAGCGUUUUCGAAUUUUAUGGAAAAAAGUAAAAUAAUGGCCAUUGGAAUUGCUAUAUCUCUUACAAAAAUCAGAUUUCAAGUUUGUGCCGAGCAGUUUUUGCCUUUAUUUACAACUUAACUUUCAAUUGCUACUGAACAGAUGCAAGUAGCUAUUCUUCGGAGCUGCUGGGCAGCCAUUCAUAUGGAGGAAAUUGUUUCUAUUAGUACCUUUUAUUUUCUUCUGCUUGGAGAGUUCGUAUAGGUAUUAUUCGCUACUAUAUAUAAUGAUUUGUCGUAUGUUUACGUACCUACUUGCAUUUCAAAGACGGUGCGGAGUUCAAGUAGAUGUUGACGAAGAACAUGAUGGAAGGGGGGUCAAAUACGAAAUACACGAUCAGAAAAUCGACAAUCUAACCCGGUGCAACGCACGGACACUUUUACUAGGAUCACAAAUUGACGGUGACAGUAUCGAAAACCUACGUACAAUUGAUUUACUUCAAAUUGAUACCAGCAAUAUAUAAGCUUCACUUUCUAGCAUUGAGAGCUUAAUUAUCCCCAGUGCAACCAGUCCAUCUGAGCAUGAAUGGUAUCAUGCGUGUGCCUAGAAUUAGUGCUUUAUUUUGUUAGAAUCUGUGUUCAUACAUCAGACAGUUGUAUUGUAAUUUAGAAAGAUCUGAACUAGGCCAUUAAUUUUCCUUAGUUAUUUCCACACUAACAUAGUUUAGAACUUAUUGAUGUUUCCAUGGUUUUGUUGAUCCGGAGUUGACUUGAGAUAUACAUAUUGAAGAACAAUAGAGAUUUUAAGCCAUUAGGCCAGGUUCUGAAUUGCCAUGGCAUCGUCAGCACAUGCCAGUGUGUCGACGACGUUGAUAGUCAGGAUUUGGAGGUAACUCUGCUCGGUACCAUCUGAAAUCCUAAUAACAGUGAGAAUUAAUUACUCUCAUUAUCCCUUGUCCCCUUCAUGAAAAAUGCACGAGGAGAACACCAAUGUGCGGGGUAACCAUGUUUGUUUCAAGACCAAUAAGACCUGAUCUUUUGAGCUGCCGGAUGUCAUGUGGUUGAGUUCAGGUAUUAUUACUUCCUGAAUUUAGAGUGUAAUUGAUGUGUUUAUGUUGGAUACUGAUAUGGUUCUCUUUCUGGAUUUCGGAUCAAUUCAGGAGUCGUUUUGUACAGCAGAAACUUGAAACAUCUUCUACUAAAGAGAAG